GUGGGGAAUAUUGGACAAUGGGGGGAACCCUGAUCCAGUCAUGCCGCGUGUGUGAAGAAGGCCUUUUGGUUGUAAAGCACUUUAAGCGAGGAGGAGGCUACCGAGAUUAAUACUCUUGGAUAGUGGACGUUACUCGCAGAAUAAGCACCGGCUAACUCUGUGCCAGCAGCCGCGGUAAUACAGAGGGUGCAAGCGUUAAUCGGAUUUACUGGGCGUAAAGCGCGCGUAGGUGGCCAAUUAAGUCAAAUGUGAAAUCCCCGAGCUUAACUUGGGAAUUGCAUUCGAUACUGGUUGGCUAGAGUAUGGGAGAGGAUGGUAGAAUUCCAGGUGUAGCGGUGAAAUGCGUAGAGAUCUGGAGGAAUACCGAUGGCGAAGGCAGCCAUCUGGCCUAAUACUGACACUGAGGUGCGAAAGCAUGGGGAGCAAACAGGAUUAGAUACCCCGGUAGUCC
This 451-nucleotide ribosomal RNA is filed under the name uncultured bacterium. RNAcentral describes it as "partial 16S ribosomal RNA". It matches the Rfam family "Bacterial small subunit ribosomal RNA", at positions 354 to 796 of the family's 1533-position model. The record is from RNAcentral.